GACGAACGCUGGCGGCGUGCUUAACACAUGCAAGUCGAACGGAAAGGCCCUGCUUUUGUGGGGUGCUCGAGUGGCGAACGGGUGAGUAACACGUGAGUAACCUGCCCUUGUCUUUGGGAUAACUUCAGGAAAAAGGGGCUAAUACCGGAUAGGAGCUACUGCUGCAUGGUGGGGGUUGGAAAGUUUCGGCGGUGGGGGAUGGACUCGCGGCUUAUCAGCUUGUUGGUGGGGUAGUGGCUUACCAAGGUUUUGACGGGUAGCAGGCCUGAGAGGGUGACCGGCCACAUUGGGACUGAGAUACGGCCCAGACUCCUACGGGAGGCAGCAGUGGGGAAUAUUGCACAAUGGGCGGAAGCCUGAUGCAGCAACGCCGCGUGCGGGAUGACGGCCUUCGGGUUGUAAACCGCUUUCGCCUGUGACGAAGCGUGAGUGACGGUAAUGGGUAAAGAAGCACCGGCUAACUACGUG
Molecule: ribosomal RNA, 468 nt
Filed under: uncultured bacterium
Lineage: Bacteria
Description: partial 16S ribosomal RNA
Rfam family: Bacterial small subunit ribosomal RNA
Source: RNAcentral